GAGGGUGUAGCUCAGUGGUAGAGUGUGCUUAGCAAGCACGAGGUCCUGGAUUCAAUACCCAGGACCUCCA
RNAcentral lists this transfer RNA (70 nucleotides) under Camelus bactrianus (Bactrian camel). It matches the Rfam family "tRNA". From Rfam's summary of the family: Transfer RNA (tRNA) molecules are approximately 80 nucleotides in length. Their secondary structure includes four short double-helical elements and three loops (D, anti-codon, and T loops). Further hydrogen bonds mediate the characteristic L-shaped molecular structure. tRNAs have two regions of fundamental functional importance: the anti-codon, which is responsible for specific mRNA codon recognition, and the 3' end, to which the tRNAs corresponding amino acid is attached (by aminoacyl-tRNA synthetases). tRNAs cope with the degeneracy of the genetic code in two manners: having more than one tRNA (with a specific anti-codon) for a particular amino acid; and 'wobble' base-pairing, i.e. permitting non-standard base-pairing at the 3rd anti-codon position. RNAcentral also lists the same sequence under 1 other name. Lineage: Eukaryota; Metazoa; Chordata; Mammalia; Artiodactyla; Camelidae. The record is from Rfam by way of RNAcentral.